AUACGGAGGGAGCAAGCGUUAUUCGGAAUCACUGGGCGUAAAGGACGCGUAGGCGGGUUUGUAAGUCAGGUGUGAAAUCCUACAGCUCAACUGUAGAACUGCACUUGAAACUACAGACCUAGAGUAUGGAAGGGGCAGAUGGAAUUAGUGGUGUGGGGGUAAAAUCCGUAGAUAUCACUAGGAAUACCGAAAGCGAAGGCGAUCUGCUGGGACAUUACUGACGCUGAGGCGUGAAAGCGUGGGGAGCAAACAGGAUUAGAAACCCCAGUAGUCC
RNAcentral lists this ribosomal RNA (274 nucleotides) under uncultured bacterium. RNAcentral describes it as "partial 16S ribosomal RNA". It matches the Rfam family "Bacterial small subunit ribosomal RNA", at positions 523 to 796 of the family's 1533-position model. The record is from RNAcentral.